UGCCAGCAGCCGCGGUAAUACGGGGGGGACUAACGUUGUUCGGAUUUACUGGGCGUAAAGGGCGCGUAGGCGGACUUUCAAGUCGGAUGUGAAAUCCACAGGCUUAACCUGUGGCUUGCAUUCGAUACUGUUGGUCUUGAGUAUAUCAGAGGGAAGCGGAAUUCCAGGUGUAGCGGUGAAAUGCGUAGAUAUCUGGAAGAACACCAGUAGCGAAGGCGGCUUUCUGGGGUAAUACUGACGCUGAAGCGCGAAGGCUAGGGGAGCAAACAGGAUUAGAUA
Molecule: ribosomal RNA, 279 nt
Filed under: uncultured bacterium
Lineage: Bacteria
Description: partial 16S ribosomal RNA
Rfam family: Bacterial small subunit ribosomal RNA
Source: RNAcentral